GCUUGUCUCAAAGAUUAAGCCAUGCAUGUCUAAGUAUAAGCAAUCAUACUGUGAAACUGCGAAUGGCUCAUUAAAUCAGUUAUCGUUUAUUUGAUAGUACCUUUACCUGGAUAACCGUGGUAAUUCUAGAGCUAAUACAUGCUAAAAACCUCGACUUCGGAAGGGGUGUAUUUAUUAGAUAAAAAACCAAUGCCCUCCGGGGCUCCUUGGUGAUUCAUAAUAACUUAACGAAUCGCAUGGCCUUGCGCCGGCGAUGGUUCAUUCAAAUUUCUGCCCUAUCAACUUUCGAUGGUAAGAUAGUGGCUUACCAUGGUCUCAACGGGUAACGGGGAAUUAGGGUUCUAUUCCGGAGAGGGAGCCUGAGAAACGGCUACCACAUCCAAGGAAGGCAGCAGG
Molecule: ribosomal RNA, 396 nt
Filed under: Exophiala pisciphila
Lineage: Eukaryota; Fungi; Ascomycota; Eurotiomycetes; Chaetothyriales; Herpotrichiellaceae
Description: partial small subunit ribosomal RNA
Rfam family: Eukaryotic small subunit ribosomal RNA
Source: RNAcentral